GGAGUCCGAAGUCAAAAGUGAAGGAUAUCUGAUUCCUAUGGUUUGGAGAUCUCCCUGUUGAGUUUUGAGGAGACAAUUGCACUUGUACGUACACUGAACAUCAGUGGCUUGCAGGGAACUAGAGGGCUUGACACAUCCCUUGCAUCUUCCAUUUACUCUGACCACAGUCCCUCCCUGUUCUCACAAGUGGAGCUAAGCCCUGCUUCCCUUCCUCUUGAUUCCCAGCCAGCUACAUGGUAAGUUUUCAUUAUCCCUGUACUUGUUGCCACAAGGUAAAAUUCUGGCAGACUCACUCUAAAAUCCAUUAGCACUGGGCAUUGAGGGCAGACCACUUCAUGCCCAUCAGUGGUCGUUCAGUCCUGUUCCAGGCUGACUGUAAGGGAAGGAAGAUAGUAUUGAAUUAGCAUUGGAGCUGAACUUCAGCAUAGAUUGUUAUAGGAAUAAAAUAUGAAGUAAAAUAUGUGACA
Molecule: long non-coding RNA, 467 nt
Filed under: Phasianus colchicus (ring-necked pheasant)
Lineage: Eukaryota; Metazoa; Chordata; Aves; Galliformes; Phasianidae
Description: lncRNA (ENSPCLG00000020831.1)
Source: RNAcentral